This is a non-coding RNA of Podarcis lilfordi (Lilford's wall lizard), 77 nucleotides long. Lineage: Eukaryota; Metazoa; Chordata; Lepidosauria; Squamata; Lacertidae. The record is from the annotation of a GenBank genome assembly.
ACCCUGGCUGCUAGCUCAGUUGGUAGAGCAUAAGAAUCUUAAUCUCAGGGUCGUGGGUUUGAGCCCCAUGUUGGGCA